RNAcentral lists this ribosomal RNA (253 nucleotides) under uncultured bacterium. RNAcentral describes it as "partial 16S ribosomal RNA". It matches the Rfam family "Bacterial small subunit ribosomal RNA", at positions 524 to 776 of the family's 1533-position model. The record is from RNAcentral.
UACGUAGGGUGCAAGCGUUGUCCGGAAUUAUUGGGAGUAAAGAGCUCGUAGGCGGUCUGUCACGUCGGAUGUGAAAACUCGGGGCUCAACCCCGAGCCUGCAUACGAUACGGGCAGACUUGAGUUCGGCAGGGGAGACUGGAAUUCCUGGUGUAGCGGUGAAAUGCGCAGAUAUCAGGAGGAACACCGAUGGCGAAGGCAGGUCUCUGGGCCAUAACUGACGCUGAGAAGCGAAAGCAUGGGGAGCGAACAGG